UACGUAUGGUGCAAGCGUUAUCCGGAUUUACUGGGUGUAAAGGGAGCGCAGGCGGCACGGCAAGCCUGAUGUGAAAGCCCGCGGCCCAACCGCGGGACUGCAUUGGGAACUACCGGGCUGGAGUGCCGGAGAGGUAGGCGGAGUUCCUAGUGUAGCGGUGAAAUGCGUAGAUAUUAGGAGGAACACCAGUGGCGAAGGCGGCCUACUGGACGGUGACUGACGCUGAGGCUCGAAAGCGUGGGGAGCAAACAGG
This 253-nucleotide ribosomal RNA is filed under the name uncultured bacterium. Its description in RNAcentral is "partial 16S ribosomal RNA". It matches the Rfam family "Bacterial small subunit ribosomal RNA", at positions 524 to 776 of the family's 1533-position model. The record is from RNAcentral.